This 2647-nucleotide small RNA is filed under the name Pongo abelii (Sumatran orangutan). RNAcentral's name for it is "retained intron". The record is from RNAcentral. Lineage: Eukaryota; Metazoa; Chordata; Mammalia; Primates; Hominidae.
UAGUCUUCUCUCUUUUUCUUAAGCAGUGAUAAACCUUUUAAUGAGAACAAAAAGGAAAUAAAUUGCUAACUCUGAAGGAACCAGUAAGAAAUACACUGAAGUAUGGUCUGUUGUUUUAGAAUAAUUUGUUAAAUGGACCAGAGUAAUACAGUGGAACAUGCAUCACCUUAUACCAUAUAGUAACUGAUUCUUUUAAGUUUACUUGAACAGAUUUCAGCCAGGAUAAAACAUUGCUCAAUUGUUUUCUUGAAUUUAUUCAACAAACAAUUGAAAAUAAUAUUUUAAAAGAUAUAAUCUCUUCAGAUCACAUCUUACAAUUCUUGAAUGAGAUCCAGUUUGUCCAUGCCUUGUAAGUAAGUUUAUAACCUACUAUGCUUUAGGGCCUCCUGCUACCUUAGGUUGACAUAUAUUUAAGAAAAAUAAUUUCAUUUCAAUAGUAGCAUAAACAUUAGAAAAAUAAAUUUGCUGGAAACAUGAAUGCAAUCUAAACCAAAUGUGAUUUUAAAAUUAUUUCUGCCGUUAAUUCCCUCCAUAUGUGUGAAUAAUUGAGUUGAUUUUAUAGUGAAAUACCUUAUGAGCCAUACUUAAGGGUUUCUGAGAGGGACUAUGAAGUUUUUCCUGGCUUAAAUUCAAUUAAGUUUUCAUUAUAGGGUCACUAUGACAUGAAAAGGAACCAGUAUGAACACUUUUAUACUUACUCCCUUCUAUUUUAAAAAUAACUUGAUUAUGGAUUUGUAUUCUGGCAUUGGUUUUUGAACCUUUGUGCUUUCAUUCUUUCUAGUCUGUUUAAAAAUCACUGGAGAGUUUAAGAUGGCAGCUGACUAAAAUAGGCCUUUGAGGUCUUUUGGUCUUCUAAAGGAAGAAGGCCAAAUUUUGGGCCCAGUUUCUUAUUUUAAGGAUGUUUUCAAAAUGUACAGUGGCUAAAGUCUUGUAAGCAGUAAUUUUGUGUUUAUGAUGGCUGUCUUCAAGUUUGGGGGGAAAUAAUGGCAAAACAAAAAAUCACAUUUGAGUAGUUCUUAGAGCAAUUCCCAGAGAUGUAUUUCUUACCUGGCCUCUCUUCUCUACCCUGUAUCUUUGCAUUAUUUAAUACUUGGAAAAACCCACAUAGCAUUAAAAACAAAGUACUACUGAACAAAGUGAUAAAUACAUUUUCUUAAAUCUUUCUUUUCUAACCACAGGAACAUUUAAACUUACAAUAGAAUUCACUGAAGAAUAUCCAAAUAAACCACCUACAGUUAGAUUUGUCUCUAAGAUGUUCCAUCCAAAUGUCUACGCAGAUGGUAGUAUAUGUCUGGAUAUACUUCAGAACCGUUGGAGUCCAACCUAUGAUGUGUCUUCCAUUCUAACAUCCAUACAGUCUCUAUUGGAUGAACCCAAUCCCAAUAGUCCAGCAAACAGCCAGGCUGCUCAGCUGUACCAGGAGAACAAACGGGAAUAUGAAAAGCGUGUUUCUGCAAUAGUAGAACAAAGCUGGCGCGAUUGUUGACCCCGGGUACAGUUUAAAGAAACUGGCCAUAAGAAAAAUAUAUAUUGAUGUGUUUGUCACCACCCUACUCAUGUCAUUACAUUUACUUUAUUAAAAGCAAAAUAGCUGUUGUGCUGUUUCCAUCUUCCUUGCCAAGUUUUCCUACCCCUUCUCCCCUCUCCUUAAACAUCAGAAAACACCCUCUAUGAAAUCAAAUGUACUGUACCUGGGUUACUUGCAAAAAUUACUAAUGCUUCAGUUUUUCUGUUGUAUUUCAUUUCCAGUUUUCAGGCAGUUAUUUUUAUUAUUGUACUUUUAAGCUUUUAAGAUGAAUUGUUAUACAAGAGGUGCUUAUGCUUAGCUUGAUGACUAGGAUGUUGUUUUUUAACAAAAUGAUUGCUGAAGUGUUUCAUCCUGGCUGGUCCUUCACUUGUGUUGGAUUUAGAAGUGAAUGUGUUUGGAAUAUGGCCUACAGAGAAUAGAAACAAAUCCAUGUAAACAAUUUUGAAGGAGGGAUGGGAGCUAAAAAUCCUGUGAUACUAAGAUCUCAGUCAUAUGAAUUACAAGAUAGUAUUUACUGGCAAGGAGAAAGUUGAAGGACUCAGCUAAAGGAGUACAGCAAUUGUAGUAACUGACACAUCCUCUCUUUGCAAGCUGCUGACUGGGCACACUCAUGCUAAGUUUCAGAAUUAUUGGUCUUCUGGGUUUUUGCUUUUUAAAAGAGGCGUGGGAGCAGAGGAAUGGAAACAAUCAUGAGUUUUUGAGCUAGGGAAAGUUGGAGAUCCUUUAAUCUUUUUAAAGGAUCAGUGCUGCCCUAGGUGAAUAAACUCAAUUGUCUAUCUUUAUUUUAGAGUUUUAAUGAAUUCAAGGAAGGGAGCAUAGCAUAUCUGUGGCAAACUGUUUUCCACUCAAAUCCUGAGUUAUUGCUGCAUGCUUUAAUUUCUUCCCUUUCAGCAUCUGAGAACCUUAAAGCCAAUGUCUGCAAUCUUUUUUUGGAUAUUUAUACUUUUAGAUAUAUAGUACCUUUAAGUAGCAGUAUGGGACAAGGCUUGUAAAUGUUUUAUCUAAUGUUCUAUUGUCACCUUUUAUGCAUUUAUCACUUCCAAAUCUAACUUUGCACAAGUAACCCAUGUAAAAAAAAUGUACAUUUUUCAAAAGUUGUAAAUAAAAAUAACCUUAAAA